UCUAUCCGAGCGUUCGCAGAACAGGCGCAGCAGAGAGCGAACAACGAAGGUGUGGACGACUAGUUGAGAAAGAGGCUCAGAAAAUAGAGCAUUGCUUGCCCUGGAAACGGGUAGCAUUGUCUAGUGGGCGUCAAGAGUAGCUACAAAACCAACAACAGCGAAAAGAGGAAUGUCGACAAUCUUGUGCUACCCUUCGAUCUUGGAACAGCCCUUUUAGCUUAACCUGAACUGGAUCGUUUUGGGGCCACGACAGAGUAAUCAGACGGUGAUCAGCGGUAACUGCAUAAAAAAAAGAAGAAGCCGUUCGUCAGCCUCUGCAUGGGUCGCCACUAACCCUUUCUCGGAGAAGUUUCAUAGCAACCGAUCUCGUAUCAGUACCCUAGCCAUGUAGAUUUGGGCAAAACCCUAUUCCCGCUGUUCACAGGUGAUUGGGUCGCGUAGAGACCUGGGCCCCACCACACACACGUACAGUGCACGUCGUUCAGCAUCUUCCCGAAGCAGAGCACACUACAUCCAAGCGAGCAAACUGAAAGGCGGGCAUUUUCAAAAUGAUGUUUUCAAUACGUGCGUGCAAUUGCCCUCUUCCCACUGCUUUGGAUUUGUUUGCCCGUUCGCCAAUUACAUCGUGUGCGAUACAUUCCACGCCAGUCUCACUCAAUGAGAUUUUCCGCAAACAUCAUCGCUCCAUGGACUCACAACUCCUACCUCGUCCCAAUUGAGGAUGCAAUUGGCCGCUGUCGACUACUAGCUGGUUCUGCAGCUGCUAGCCUACGUUCAUAAGCUCAAAGCGUUCUUCAGGGAGUGCAAGAUGCGCUGUGGCCAAUCUGUAAACGACCUCGUCGAGGAUCGCUUAACUCGUGUCAGCUGUUGCUUUUCGGUGCGAUGAGUUAAGAAAGACGCCGUCGAAGGACAGCUGGUCGCAGGGUCCCGAUUUCAAUGUUAUCUUGCGGACGUACGUUCGUAGCAAUGAAAAUGUAACGUUUGCUAUCGACAUCAAACGCUGUUAGGCUAACGAAAUGAUAACAAGACAAGGUACGUAUUGGUCCUGUGGUUUAGAAAAAUGCGCGGAGCAAUACUCUGAACUGAUACUAACUUGAUUAGCAGCAGAGAGAACGUAACAGCAAUUUGCAUCACCGUGCCAUAUGAUGUGUGUAUGUUUGCCUGUACACGUCUAACAGGGAUUUCAAGCAAUUGAUCGAUGUCCUGGGAUAGGACUUA
This is an RNA transcript of Varroa destructor (honeybee mite), 1218 nucleotides long. RefSeq lists it as uncharacterized. The record is from RefSeq and is a predicted model, not a curated record. NCBI's taxonomy places the organism in Eukaryota, Metazoa, Arthropoda, Arachnida, Mesostigmata, Varroidae.